CGCCUGUGUGCGCGGAACCGAGCGGGAGGCGCUCCCCGCGCUGGCGGCCGCGUGAAGGCAGGCUACCGCCGGGGCCGCCCGCGAGCCGCCAUCGGCCCGCCCCCGAGGCGCCUUCAACGCGCCAGGGCGGCAGCUCGGCGCUCGGGUCCCCGGCCGUCCCCAGCCCGCGCCGCGCACGCGCACAGCCGCCCUCGCUGCCGCCCGCGCAAGGCCGCCGCGCAAGGGCGAUCCCGGGGACAGGGCGACGCUGCGCCACGGAAGCCCCUCCUCAGCUUCCGCCGGCGGCGCCGGGAUCUGACGGCUUCCCUCAGAGGGAAAAGAGGUGGAACGCGUGAUUUUGGAUUAGUGACCCCUGGGCCCCCUUCCCCAGCGCCUCCCGAGCCGGAGCCCGUUCUCGGCGGACGACCCCCAGGACUCCAGCUGAGCCCCUCCUCACAGUCCACCGAUGCGAGGUCUGAGGGGAGCCUUCGAGUCACUGCUCCCUCGGUCAAACGGGAGGAUUCCUCCACCGCCUUCAGCCCUUGAGCACGCGACGUUCAUUCCCGAAAUACGGGAGUGCCCUCCCUCGCGGUUCGCGUUUCACUGUCGGUUGCGCCCGCCGGGCACCGUCCGUCUGUCCAGCGGAUCCGCGCUGUGCGGGCUACCUGCCCGUUAGUCACUUAGCAGCGGUCUUGGUUGUUAGGUGGACUGUCGAGGGAUGGCAGUGCUCGUGUCCAAGUAACUUUUAUUUUGCUCAAUAAUGGCCCCAAAGUGCGAAAGUAGUGAUGCUGGCAAUUCGGAGAUGCCAAAGAGAAGCCCUAAAGUGCUUCCUUUGAGUUAAACCGUGUGGAAGUUCUCGACUUAAUAAGGAAAGAAAAAAAAUCAUUCGCUGAGGUUGCUCAGAUCUCUGACUGGCCCUGAGCUAACAUCCAUGACCAUCUUCCUCCACUUUAUAUGUGGGAUGCCUACCACAGCAUGGCUUGCCAAGCGGUACGAUGUCCACACCCGGGAUCCGAACCAGCGAACCCUGGGAUGCUGAGAAGCGGAAGGACGUGACUGUGUUUUGAAAGUAUUUCUGUCCUCUGCUGCUUAUUUGGAAGAGAGCGGCUUCCAUUCCUGUCCGGUUUUUGGAGAGGGAUUUUAGCAAUUCCUUCGUAUGGAUGAUCUUCAGCUCCCCAGUCUGUUCCACGAUGGAGAAGAACUUGUGGCACAAGCCUGAGUCCCAGUUUUAUUGCCAAUCUGUCGGGUGACCUUGGACAAGUCACUGCCUUCCUUUGACAGCUAAUCUCACCAGCCUCGUAUUAUAUCUCUGAAAAUGGAAAGCAUGAAUGUUUUGGCCAGUAGUCUGAGCAAAGUCUUUCUAAGUACAAACUGAACAGGAUCAGAGAGUUAAGGAGGCACGUGCUAGCGGAGGUUAGUGAGUCAACAGAAAAAUAUUACCAUAUUGGCUGUACAUCUGCCUAUGUUUAAACCUUCAUCUGAGAAAGGAGUGAAGUGUUGGAAAGUAUUUAAAAUCAGCAAAGAUGGGAAAUGAGAUAACAGCCUAGGACCUUCGGGACAGGACAUACCACUGCUGGCCCCCCUCAGGACAGCUGCUCUGACAGCCGUGCCCUCCAGAAUAUUCCGUGGGCCUCAGCCUGGCAGCAUGGUCCCUGACUGUGCCUGGUACCCAAUAAGGACUCUGUAAAUAUUUGGGAAGUGAGUGGACAAGUGAUUGUCCCUGGUUUGGGCUAGUGCCAUUUAGAGGGCAUCCAGAGUGCAGGGGAGGGAGGGGCUUGGGCAAGAGGGACAUUGCUGCUGCCGGUUGAUGGUGACAGUGACACUGAAUGAGAGCCCAAUCGUUUGGGAAGCCCCAUGCUUAAGUCUUGCAGUGACAUGCCAACCAAUGAUGGAAUGCCUAUUUCGAUAGCGUGGAGGGAGACACGAACUCAAAGAGGCAACCAGACGGAUGGAAGGGACUCAGCCUCUGCAGGUCGGUCUGGACAAGACCAGAGACUCAUAUUCAAGACAGCCUGUAAACCGAGAGCCAAUGAAAAGUCUGCUUCCGCCUCUCUUUCUUCCAUUGGACCCUCUUGGGCUCCCCUUUUAUGUGUUCAUUUCCUUUGAAGUAGCUCUGUGUUCAUUUUUAAAAGAUUAAAAUAGAGCAAAACUGACUUUUGCAGGGGUAUACAGCUCUAUGGCUUUUAACGUACAUAUAGAAUCAUGUAGCUACCCCUACAAUCGUUCAUAAAUUCAGAGAACUCUCUCAUGCUGUGCUUCUGUAGUCACAUUUUCCCCAUGUCCCUAACCGCCGGCAGCCACUGAUCUUGUCUCUAUCACUAUGAUUGUGUCUUUUUGAGAAUGUCAUAUAAAUGAAAUCAUACAGGAUGUAACCCACUGAAGCUAGCUUUUCUCACUCAGCAUAAUGCCUUCGAGAGUCAUCCAAGCUAUUGGGUGUAUCAUUACUUCUUUAUUAGUACUUUUAUUCCUGAGUAGCAUUCUAUUGUAUGAAUUUACCACUUCUAUUUAUCCAUUUACCCAGAAGGACAUUGUUUCCAGUUUUUGGUGAUUAUGAAUGGAGCUACAUUAAAUAUUUAUGUACAAGCUUUGUGUGACUGUAAGUUUUCACUUCUCUUGGCUGAAUACCUAGGAAUGGGAUUGCUAAGUCAUGUGAUAAGUGUAUGUUUAACUUUAUAGGAAACUGCCAAACUGUUUUCACCAUUUCAAAUUGCCACCAGCAGAGUAUGACAGUACCUGUUGCUUUGCAUUUUUGUCAACACUUGAUAUUGUCAGCAGUUUUUAUUGAGCCAUUCUAAUAGACCAUGUGUACGUUAAGGGAUCGCUCCUGCUGGCUGCACACAACAUCAGGACUUCACCUUCUGGCUGACUUGAUAAUAAACUCAGGUAAGGAUGAUGGCUCUAUGACUACCUGCGACAGGCCCAUUCACACGUUUCCCCUCCUCUUACAGGAUGUCUUCAAUUGAGAGGAUGCUAUAGAAGAGAAAAGAUCAGGUAUCUUGAGAAACUGAAAGGAAUGUGGGGGUGGUGUGAGGGAAAAAGAGAAACUUUUCAGGCUAGUUGGAUUCUGGAAAUUCCAGUUCCUCCCACUUAUUCACACUAGGACCCCAAGCUGUCAAGGGAAGAAGAGGGAGGAGAGCGAGACAGAAACUAUGGCGAAAAUGUAACGUGGAAAAGUAGAACUGCUCAUGUAUCCCUGACACUCCACACAAAGUAGAAGCCAAGCCAAGUCGCCUGAGGAUUUAGCGGAAGUGAAAUGAGGCAUCUUUGACAGACCCGAAGACGAUCCGCAGAUCUCCUCAUCUCUAGAGCCACUGGUAGACUUCUAGCUCUAGACCUGAAUUGUUUUGUCUCAGUUGACAAGCAAAACAUAGUGAGAGGUUAGUCAUUUUUCCCCUCUUUGAGUUCCUCUUAUAUAUUUAAAGUGACUACUUUACUUAUCAGACAAAAAUUUAAUGGCUAAAACAAGAUUUAAGAAGUAAC
This 3459-nucleotide long non-coding RNA is filed under the name Equus caballus (horse). RNAcentral's name for it is "lncRNA (ENSECAG00000050091.1)". The record is from RNAcentral. Lineage: Eukaryota; Metazoa; Chordata; Mammalia; Perissodactyla; Equidae.